AGCUCAAACAUCCAUUACCAUGGUGAUCCAGGCUCCAGGGAGAUGUUGUCUAUAGGAACCUGGUGGGAGUCAGAUAGCCUAUUGCUUAAACAGCACAGUUAACCAUGGGUGAGUUAAACAACUAAAA
Non-coding RNA from Ceratotherium simum simum (southern white rhinoceros), 127 nucleotides. Lineage: Eukaryota; Metazoa; Chordata; Mammalia; Perissodactyla; Rhinocerotidae. The record is from RefSeq and is a predicted model, not a curated record.